Culex quinquefasciatus (southern house mosquito) is the source of this 279-nucleotide long non-coding RNA. RefSeq lists it as uncharacterized. The transcript has 3 exons. NCBI's taxonomy places the organism in Eukaryota, Metazoa, Arthropoda, Insecta, Diptera, Culicidae. The record is from RefSeq and is a predicted model, not a curated record.
UUUUGCGAUUUAUGGAUUGAAUCCGGCGUGCAUGCAACACGAAGUGGACGAUCACAAACGAGGAGGUACAAUCACGAUCGAACGCAAGACUGUAGUACGGUUGCGCGACUAGAAAACGUUCCGAGGGAACAACAGAGGGCCGCUAGAUUACGGUCAAGAACGACACACAGACGGCAAGGCAGAAUUGGAUUCCGGCGGAGUCAGCAGGGAAUUUCAAUUGAACUUGAUUGUGGAUAGGACGGUUACAAGGAGCAGGAAAGGAUUUCCGGAAAGGAUCAA